RNAcentral lists this ribosomal RNA (253 nucleotides) under uncultured bacterium. RNAcentral's name for it is "partial 16S ribosomal RNA". It matches the Rfam family "Bacterial small subunit ribosomal RNA", at positions 524 to 776 of the family's 1533-position model. The record is from RNAcentral.
UACGAAGGGGGCUAGCGUUGCUCGGAAUCGCUGGGCGUAAAGGGUGCGUAGGCGGGUCUUUAAGUCAGGGGUGAAAUCCUGGAGCUCAACUCCAGAACUGCCUUUGAUACUGAGGAUCUUGAGUUCGGGAGAGGUGAGUGGAACUGCGAGUGUAGAGGUGAAAUUCGUAGAUAUUCGCAAGAACGCCAGUGGCGAAGGCGGCUCACUGGCCCGAUACUGACGCUGAGGCACGAAAGCGUGGGGAGCAAACAGG